AUUGACUGAGUGGCGGACGGGUGAGUAACGCGUGGAUAACCUGCCUCACACUGGGGGAUAACAGUUAGAAAUGACUGCUAAUACCGCAUAAGCGCACAGUGCCGCAUGGUACGGUGUGAAAAACUCCGGUGGUGUGAGAUGGAUCCGCGUCUGAUUAGCCAGUUGGCGGGGUAACGGCCCACCAAAGCGACGAUCAGUAGCCGACCUGAGAGGGUGACCGGCCACAUUGGGACUGAGACACGGACCAGACUCCUACGGGAGGCAGCAGUGGGGAAUAUUGCACAAUGGGCGAAAGCCUGAUGCAGCGACGCCGCGUGAGUGAAGAAGUAUUUCGGUAUGUAAAGCUCUAUCAGCAGGGAAGGUUAUGACGGUACCUGACUAAGAAGCCCCGGCUAACUACGUGCCAGCAGCCGCGGUAAUACGUAGGGGGCAAGCGUUAUCCGGAUUUACUGGGUGUAAAGGGAGCGUAGACGGCGAAGCAAGUCUGAAGUGAAAACCCAGGGCUCAACCCUGGGACUGCUUUGGAAACUGUUUUGCUAGAGUGUCGGAGAGGUAAGUGGAAUUCCUAGUGUAGCGGUGAAAUGCGUAGAUAUUAGGAGGACACCAGUGGCGAAGGCGGCUUACUGGACGA
This 631-nucleotide ribosomal RNA is filed under the name uncultured Lachnospiraceae bacterium. Its description in RNAcentral is "bacterial SSU rRNA". It matches the Rfam family "Bacterial small subunit ribosomal RNA", at positions 86 to 736 of the family's 1533-position model. Lineage: Bacteria; Bacillati; Bacillota; Clostridia; Lachnospirales; Lachnospiraceae. The record is from RNAcentral.